AAUGAAAACAAUGGAACAGCUCAAUUCACAAACUUGAGUUCUGACCAUAGGAGUUGAACCAGAGAGGAGGUCCCUAUGGCACUCACCCAUCAGUACAGUCCCUUGAAUUCCCAUCUGAAGACAUUGAAUGCUCUGUUCUCUUAGAAGAUCCUAGCCAUAAGUGGCAUAUAAGAGAUUCUCAACAGCAACAACAACGACAAACAAAUAAAUAAAGAAAGAAAGAAUGAAUUCAUUACUACCUUGAAUAUGAAGAACACGCUAAGUAUUUUCCGUGUGAUGAUCUAAAUUUUCAUCCCCCAGAGAAGAGUAUCCUUGGAAACAGGUCUGGCAGCAUCAUUAGGCAAACCAGAACAGAAGGUGGCCGGAACCUGGCCUGUGUGUCUGCCUCACAGAGCUCCAAGUCAGAAGGAGAGUGCCCCUCACUGAGCUCCUGGCAUUCAAUGUUCAGUCUGGAAAGGAAGCGUGACCAUCUGCCUUGGACUCUGUCGAAUGGAGCCUGUCCUCACUGCUCAGUCCCGUGGACAUGUGAGUCAUUGGCCACUUGGAAUAGAAGUAAGGUCUCUAACUGCAUCCUGAGCAAUGACAGGUCUGGGGUCAGAAUAAAGACCAAUAGGACAGCAGGGAAAAGAAGGCAGAAGAAGUAGGUCAGUGCCUGCUCCUCAGGACCUGAGACAGAACAGUGCUGAGACCUGGAUGGCUUAAUGCUCGAUCAAGCUUCUCUCUAAGACGCAUAACAAAUAGCAAGGAGAAGCAGCCCCAAGAGAGCUCUUUGAAAACACUGGCUCUAGCACACUCAAUUUACAGACAGGGAAGCUGAGGCUCAAAAAGAGAGAGUGACAGCAGGUGAACAGCAAAGCCAGUCAAAAUCAGGGGCUCCAACUCCCUGGCAUAGCUUCUUUGACUACAAUAGUAUGACUUUUGUCACUGGCUGAGGAUAACCAAAGCAGUACUAUGGUCGUUGGUGACUGUUUCAGUGAUUAUCAGUUUAAGGAGUCAAUUUCUCAGCCUGAGGACCCCAGUGACAGACCAUUAACAAGCCUCCAGAUAAUACAGCUUACAUCAAAACAACUUUUAUUUCCUAGACAUUUUCUCAGCUGUGCCUUAAAAUAAGAAAUAUAUGUCUAAUUUCAUCGAGCUCUGUGCUGCCUGCUACCAUCAAAGAACAACGAGGAAAUACUGAUAGAUAGAGGCUGCAAAGAGGGUGUAAAAUUAGGGGAAGAAUGAUGACAGUGGACGUACCCAUCUGACCAGCCAAGCGGGUACAUCUCCCGUGAAUUUUGUCCUGGUUUAGCCUCUUAGCAUAGCCAGAGCAGAGCAGAAAGGGUAUCGCCAGGGGCUUGGACUUAAAGCCACCCCAAACAGGUCUUCACCAGUAAAAGGCACUCCGUCCUUCCAGCUGCUCUUCACAAACUUGUAAUGUUAUCCUUGACUCUCUCUGCAUCUCAUCCAUGGGUAAACAUCACUGACCCUAACUCCAAAAGCCACGUGUUUGUUUUCUUUUGCUGCUGGAACAAAUCACUCCAAACACAGGGGUUUAACACAACGUAAUUUUUUUUAAUCUUAGAGUUCUGGAGGUCGGGCAUCUGUAGGGCUGCGUUCCUUCUAGAGGGUCUAAGAAAAAAACUUUUUCUUUGAUUUUUUCGGCUUCUAGAAGCUGACUACAUUCUUUGGCUCCCGGCUCCUUCUUCAGUCAUCAAAGCCAGAAGCAAGCAUAGCACCUUUUCUGUGUCUGUUUCUUCCAUGUUCACAUCACCUUCUCUCUUUCUUUUCCCUUUCCAGCUUUGUUGAGUUACAAUUGAUAAACAAACAUUGUAUGUAUUUAAGGUGUACAGCGUGAUGUUUUCAUAUAGGUAUGCUAUGUGAAAUGAUUACCACAAUAAAGCUAC
Molecule: non-coding RNA, 1886 nt
Organism: Macaca mulatta (Rhesus monkey)
Lineage: Eukaryota; Metazoa; Chordata; Mammalia; Primates; Cercopithecidae
Source: RefSeq, a predicted model, not a curated record